This 644-nucleotide unclassified non-coding RNA is filed under the name Zea mays. RNAcentral's name for it is "misc RNA Zm00001eb094920". Lineage: Eukaryota; Viridiplantae; Streptophyta; Magnoliopsida; Poales; Poaceae. The record is from RNAcentral.
UUGAGAUCUGGGACAAUUGUUUCAUAUCAAGUUGAGAGACCAACCAGCAGCUGAGCUCCAUCUCACCAUUGCUUCGGACCUAAAGAUUCUAGGCACAUCUGACCAACUUCUCAAGUGCAAAUACAAAGGCCAAUUGCAGAUAAAACCACAGCAGAUUCACUUUGCUCCAAAACUCCAAAACACAAUCAUAAUAUCGCAUGGAUUUUACAUAUCUUAAAUCUACAAAAGUCAGCUGCAUUGUUCCCCCCUGGAAGUUCUCUCACGCCAUCACCACCAAUCACACACAAGAAAGACUGAGGAGGGAUCACACAGAUAAAGAUCUGAUCGAAAAACGGGUGCUUUGGUCAGAGUGUUCCUUGAUCCGCCACCGACUAGCGUGUGAAGGCGUAGAAGACGGUGCCGAUGUAGAUGAGCAUGGCGGAAGGGACGAGGGUGACGAGCGGCACGACGGCGGCCCAGGCGGCGGCCCCGCCGGCGCCGCACCCGAGUCGCCCGAGCUUCACCUGCACCACGUUGACGAGGGCCAUCAUCAGGAAGCCGCAUCCGGCGACGGACCCCACGGCGGACGCGAGGAUCCCGACGCGGAGCGCCGCGCGGUUGAUCCGCGCGGUGCGGCCGCCGGCGGCGGAGGCGGAGGCGGAGGC